This 85-nucleotide transfer RNA is filed under the name Sulfoacidibacillus thermotolerans. It matches the Rfam family "tRNA". Rfam says of the family: Transfer RNA (tRNA) molecules are approximately 80 nucleotides in length. Their secondary structure includes four short double-helical elements and three loops (D, anti-codon, and T loops). The record is from Rfam by way of RNAcentral. RNAcentral also lists the same sequence under 1 other name. Lineage: Bacteria; Bacillati; Bacillota; Bacilli; Caryophanales; Alicyclobacillaceae.
GCCGAGGUGGCGGAAUAGGCAGACGCAGCGGACUUAAAAUCCGCCGGGCAUUGCGCCCGUACCGGUUCGAGUCCGGUCCCCGGCA